Molecule: long non-coding RNA, 879 nt
Filed under: Bos indicus x Bos taurus (hybrid cattle)
Lineage: Eukaryota; Metazoa; Chordata; Mammalia; Artiodactyla; Bovidae
Description: lncRNA (ENSBIXG00000010959.1)
Source: RNAcentral
AUAUGAUUAUUUGAAUUCAUGUAUAAAUGUUUGGGAGGACUGCUAAUGUCAAGCCGAUGAGUCUCUUCAAACGCUCUUCUUUGGGGGAAUAAAUAGCUAUAGUUUUCUCUUGCCUUGAUCUUGCUCAUCUUCUCUGUUGGCAUUUUGUGGGAUAAAUGGGCAACAUUUCUCUUCCAUUCCCCUUUUGCAGACAUACAAACAGAUUUGGGGUUAGAUGAUUUUUUUUUUUUUUGCCCUCGAGCUUACUUUUAAAGGAGUCUCUUACUUAAGGAUGGACUUUUAAUUUUUUACAACUUCCUCUGUUGAUUAAUUCUGCUCCAGUACAUUUUCUUUAGAAAAUAAUUAGUCUGAAAGUUCAAAGAGUUUUCCAGCUUAGCACAAUGCUGGGCAUAAAACAGGCCAGUUAUAGGGUAACAGAAGUACCCACUCUGGGGAAGAGUCUCCUGAAACCUCGUGCAAUAAGAUGCCUUAUUCCUUAAGAAGAGGAGACCCCACAGUAGUUUGGGGAAGACUGUCAAGGAACCGAAGUCCGCACCAUUCCUGGAGACCCUGAACUCCCUGAAUGGCUGGAAAUUACCUACGGCAGCUGAGUCACCCACCUCCCCGCGGAAGCCUGCUGGCUGUUUCCAAGGCCUUCCUCAUCAUUCAAACCACGAUGCGGCCACAGGAAUACCAAAAGCGACACUUGAUGGCUGUGGAAGAUUUUCAUCCUCACAGGUCGUGAAUGCCUUCUGUUUAUCACCUGCACUGAGGAUUUACGACUGUCUCAGUGUCGUAUUUCUAGCUGCUGUACUCUGAAGGAAAGCAUCCUGCCCUGAGGUAAGGACACAUUCUUUAUUCAUAGUGAAAAUGAAAGCGAGUAAAGGGCAAGAUUUUUUU